RNAcentral lists this ribosomal RNA (497 nucleotides) under uncultured bacterium. RNAcentral's name for it is "partial 16S ribosomal RNA". It matches the Rfam family "Bacterial small subunit ribosomal RNA", at positions 28 to 507 of the family's 1533-position model. The record is from RNAcentral.
GAUGAACGCUGGCGGCGUGCCUAAUACAUGCAAGUCGAGCGAACGGACGAGAAGCUUGCUUCUCUGAUGUUAGCGGCGGACGGGUGAGUAACACGUGGAUAACCUACCUAUAAGACUGGGAUAACUUCGGGAAACCGGAGCUAAUACCGGAUGAUAUUUUGAACCGCAUGGUUCAAAAGUGAAAGACGGUCUUGCUGUCACUUAUAGAUGGAUCCGCGCUGCAUUAGCUAGUUGGUAAGGUAACGGCUUACCAAGGCAACGAUGCAUAGCCGACCUGAGAGGGUGAUCGGCCACACUGGAACUGAGACACGGUCCAGACUCCUACGGGAGGCAGCAGUAGGGAAUCUUCCGCAACGGGCGAAAGCCUGACGGAGCAACGCCGCGUGAGUGAUGAAGGUCUUCGGAUCGUAAAACUCUGUUAUUAGGGAAGAACAUAUGUGUAAGUAACUGUGCACAUCUUGACGGUACCUAAUCAGAAAGCCACGGCUAACUACGUG